UCCCUGGAGGCUUAGAUGGUAAAAAUCUGCCUGUAAUGCGGAAGACCCAGGUUCCAUCCCUGGCUGGGGAC
RNAcentral lists this transfer RNA (71 nucleotides) under Ovis aries (sheep). It matches the Rfam family "tRNA". From Rfam's summary of the family: Transfer RNA (tRNA) molecules are approximately 80 nucleotides in length. Their secondary structure includes four short double-helical elements and three loops (D, anti-codon, and T loops). Further hydrogen bonds mediate the characteristic L-shaped molecular structure. tRNAs have two regions of fundamental functional importance: the anti-codon, which is responsible for specific mRNA codon recognition, and the 3' end, to which the tRNAs corresponding amino acid is attached (by aminoacyl-tRNA synthetases). tRNAs cope with the degeneracy of the genetic code in two manners: having more than one tRNA (with a specific anti-codon) for a particular amino acid; and 'wobble' base-pairing, i.e. permitting non-standard base-pairing at the 3rd anti-codon position. Lineage: Eukaryota; Metazoa; Chordata; Mammalia; Artiodactyla; Bovidae. The record is from Rfam by way of RNAcentral.